GCAAGUGUAGCAUAGUGGUAAGGAGCUGGGCUUGUAACCAAAAGGUUGCUGGUUCGAUUCCCUGCUGGGG
RNAcentral lists this transfer RNA (70 nucleotides) under Megalops atlanticus (tarpon). RNAcentral's name for it is "tRNA-OTHER". The record is from RNAcentral. Lineage: Eukaryota; Metazoa; Chordata; Actinopteri; Elopiformes; Megalopidae.